RNAcentral lists this ribosomal RNA (557 nucleotides) under Mycobacterium branderi. Its description in RNAcentral is "bacterial SSU rRNA". It matches the Rfam family "Bacterial small subunit ribosomal RNA", at positions 44 to 601 of the family's 1533-position model. The record is from RNAcentral. Lineage: Bacteria; Bacillati; Actinomycetota; Actinomycetes; Mycobacteriales; Mycobacteriaceae.
GUGCUUAACACAUGCAAGUCGAACGGAAAGGUUCUUUCGGGAACACUCGAGUGGCGAACGGGUGAGUAACACGUGGGUGAUCUGCCCUGCACUUCGGGAUAAGCUUGGGAAACUGGGUCUAAUACCGGAUAGGACCACAUGCUGCAUGGUGUGUGGUGGAAAGCUUUUUUGCGGUGUGGGAUGGGCCCGCGGCCUAUCAGCUUGUUGGUGGGGUGAUGGCCUACCAAGGCGACGACGGGUAGCCGGCCUGAGAGGGUGUCCGGCCACACUGGGACUGAGAUACGGCCCAGACUCCUACGGGAGGCAGCAGUGGGGAAUAUUGCACAAUGGGCGCAAGCCUGAUGCAGCGACGCCGCGUGGGGGAUGACGGCCUUCGGGUUGUAAACCUCUUUCACCAUCGACGAAGCUUCAGCGUGUUGUUGGGGUGACGGUAGGUGGAGAAGAAGCACCGGCCAACUACGUGCCAGCAGCCGCGGUAAUACGUAGGGUGCGAGCGUUGUCCGGAAUUACUGGGCGUAAAGAGCUCGUAGGUGGUUUGUCGCGUUGUUCGUGAAAUC